This is a long non-coding RNA of Etheostoma cragini (Arkansas darter), 76 nucleotides long. RefSeq lists it as uncharacterized. The record is from RefSeq and is a predicted model, not a curated record. The transcript has 3 exons. NCBI's taxonomy places the organism in Eukaryota, Metazoa, Chordata, Actinopteri, Perciformes, Percidae.
UUUUAUUUCCUCACAGAUUUCCCUGGAUUGGGGUGGCACCUGGAUUGUGGUUGCAGCUGCUGCCGUGGUCCUGCUG